RNAcentral lists this transfer RNA (92 nucleotides) under Aureispira sp. Its description in RNAcentral is "tRNA-Ser". It matches the Rfam family "tRNA". Rfam says of the family: Transfer RNA (tRNA) molecules are approximately 80 nucleotides in length. Their secondary structure includes four short double-helical elements and three loops (D, anti-codon, and T loops). Lineage: Bacteria; Pseudomonadati; Bacteroidota; Saprospiria; Saprospirales; Saprospiraceae. The record is from RNAcentral. RNAcentral also lists the same sequence under 1 other name.
GGAGGGUUGGGUGAGUGGCUGAAACCACCAGUUUGCUAAACUGGCGUACCUUUAACGGGGUACCGCGAGUUCGAAUCUCGCACCCUCCGCCA